Molecule: ribosomal RNA, 497 nt
Filed under: uncultured bacterium
Lineage: Bacteria
Description: partial 16S ribosomal RNA
Rfam family: Bacterial small subunit ribosomal RNA
Source: RNAcentral
GACGAACGCUGGCGGCGUGCCUAAUACAUGCAAGUCGAGCGGACUUUCCGGAAUGCUUGCUCUCCGAUGGUUGAGCGGCAGGCGUGAGAAACACACGGAUGCCACCUGCACAUAACACCGGGAUCACAUUCGGAAACGAGUGCAAAUCCCGGAUUAACGGACCCCUCACAGUUGGAAAGCGGAAGACGGGGUGGAUGCUGCCUAUAGAUGGUUCGGCGGCGCAUUAGCUGGUUGGUGGGGUAACGGCUUACCAAGGCGACGAUGCGUAGCCGACCUGAGAGGGUGAUCGGCCACACUGGGACUGAGACACGGUCCAGACUCCUACGGGAGGCAGCAGUAGGGAAUCUUCCGCAAUGGACGCAAGUCUGACGGAGCAACGCCGCGUGAGUGAGGAAGGCCUUCGGGUCGUAAAGCUCUGUUGCCAGGGAAGAACGGGUAGGUGAGUAACUGUCCUUGCCAUGACGGUACCUGAGAAGAAAGCCCCGGCUAACUACGUG